UUCAGGAGAAUGUCAAUGAUGUUGACAGUGAACUUAAUGAAGCUGUCAUUUGACUGACAAAUUCCGAAUUUAGCGGACGCGUGUUUGUUUUCCACGGUCAUUAGUUUGUCAAUUUCAUUUCCAAAUAUGGCUGAAACGUUUUCAUUGUUAGUGAUGCCUUUUUUAAUCAAUUUGUACUUCAGUAUGUUCAUUAGGCGAUGCAAUGUACUAUUCAAUGUUUGCAGAGUAUUUAUAACAACCUUCUGCAUUCCAUCUUUCGUUUUUAUGGAUUGUUUUUUUGUUGUAUCUACAAAAGCACCGUAUUUUAUUUUGAAAUUGCGCGCCAGCAUGCCGUGCAAGCUAAUUGAUGGUAUCGAGUGUAUACCACCACCGCCCGUCUUCGUUUUGAACGCUUCCAAUACGCAAUAAGAUUGUUCUACUCACGUAUGUUAAAUGGAAAUAAAUGAUAAGCAUUUUCGCUGCGUUAACGAUAA
Long non-coding RNA from Bombyx mori (domestic silkworm), 473 nucleotides. RefSeq lists it as uncharacterized. Lineage: Eukaryota; Metazoa; Arthropoda; Insecta; Lepidoptera; Bombycidae. The record is from RefSeq and is a predicted model, not a curated record. The transcript is spliced from 2 exons.